CGAACGAGAAAGCACUUCGGGUGUGAGUAAGUGGCGCAGGGUGAGUACACGUGGGAAUCUACCUGAGGUGGGGGACAACUCGCGAAAGUGGGGCUAAUACCGCAUAAGUCGACUUCGGUCGGGAAAGGUGGCUUCGGCUAUCGCCUUAGGAUGAGCCCGCGUCCCAUCAGCUAGUUGGUAAGGUAAUGGCUUACCAAGGCCACGACGGGUAGCUGGUCUGAGAGGAUGAUCAGUCACACUGGAACUGAGGCACGGUCCAGACUCCUACGGGAGGCAGCAGUGGGGAAUAUUGCGCAAUGGGCGAAAGCCUGACGCAGCGACGCCGCGUGAGUGAUGAAGGCCUUCGGGUCGUAAAGCUCUGUUGGAGAGGGAAGAAAAACUUGUGGGAAUAAUACCCCAUGGGCUUGACGGUACCUUUCCAGAAAGCACCGGCUAACUCCGUGCCAGCAGCCGCGGUAAUACGGAGGGUGCAAACGUUGUUCGGAAUCACUGGGCGUAAAGCGCGUGUAGGCGGCGCGUUAAGUCAGAUGUGAAAGUCCAGGGCUUAACCCUGGAAGUGCAUUUGAAACUGGCGUGCUAGAGUACGGGAGAGGGUGGUAGAAUUCCCGGUGUAGAGGUGAAAUUCGUAGAUAUCGGGAGGAAUACCGGUGGCGAAGG
RNAcentral lists this ribosomal RNA (657 nucleotides) under uncultured organism. RNAcentral describes it as "bacterial SSU rRNA". It matches the Rfam family "Bacterial small subunit ribosomal RNA", at positions 63 to 721 of the family's 1533-position model. The record is from RNAcentral.